RNAcentral lists this ribosomal RNA (484 nucleotides) under uncultured bacterium. RNAcentral describes it as "partial 16S ribosomal RNA". It matches the Rfam family "Bacterial small subunit ribosomal RNA", at positions 29 to 507 of the family's 1533-position model. The record is from RNAcentral.
AUUGAACGCUGGCGGCAUGCUUUACACAUGCAAGUCGAACGGCAGCGCGGGCUUCGGCCUGGCGGCGAGUGGCGAACGGGUGAGUAAUACAUCGGAACGUGCCCAGUAGUGGGGGAUAGCUCGGCGAAAGCCGGAUUAAUACCGCAUACGACCUGAGGGUGAAAGCGGGGGAUCUUCGGACCUCGCGCUAUUGGAGCGGCCGAUGGCAGAUUAGCUAGUUGGUGGGGUAAAGGCCUACCAAGGCGACGAUCUGUAGCUGGUCUGAGAGGACGACCAGCCACACUGGGACUGAGACACGGCCCAGACUCCUACGGGAGGCAGCAGUGGGGGAUUUUGGACAAUGGGCGAAAGCCUGAUCCAGCAAUGCCGCGUGUGUGAUGAAGGCCUUCGGGUUGUAAAGCACUUUUGGCGGGAACGAAAAGGACUGUGCCAAUACCACGGUUCGAUGACGGUACCCGCAGAAUAAGCACCGGCUAACUACGUG